GAUGAACGCUGGCGGCGUGCCUAAUACAUGCAAGUCGAGCGAACAGAUGAGGAGCUUGCUCCUCUGACGUUAGCGGCGGACGGGUGAGUAACACGUGGAUAACCUACCUAUAAGACUGGGAUAACUUCGGGAAACCGGAGCUAAUACCGGAUAAUAUAUUGAACCGCAUGGUUCAAUAGUGAAAGACGGUUUUGCUGUCACUUAUAGAGGGAUCCGCGCCGCAUUAGCUAGUUGGUAAGGUAACGGCUUACCAAGGCAACGAUGCGUAGCCGACCUGAGAGGGUGAUCGGCCACACUGGAACUGAGACACGGUCCAGACUCCUACGGGAGGCAGCAGUAGGGAAUCUUCCGCAAUGGGCGAAAGCCUGACGGAGCAACGCCGCGUGAGUGAUGAAGGUCUUCGGAUCGUAAAACUCUGUUAUUAGGGAAGAACAAAUGUGUAAGUAACUAUGCACGUCUUGACGGUACCUAAUCAGAAAGCCACGGCUAACUACGUG
Molecule: ribosomal RNA, 497 nt
Filed under: uncultured bacterium
Lineage: Bacteria
Description: partial 16S ribosomal RNA
Rfam family: Bacterial small subunit ribosomal RNA
Source: RNAcentral